This is a non-coding RNA of Schistosoma curassoni, 45 nucleotides long. The record is from Rfam. NCBI's taxonomy places the organism in Eukaryota, Metazoa, Platyhelminthes, Trematoda, Strigeidida, Schistosomatidae.
AUUCGGCUGACGAGUCCCAAAUAAGAAGGAACGUACGUCGUGAAU